Molecule: ribosomal RNA, 814 nt
Filed under: Salmonella enterica subsp. enterica
Lineage: Bacteria; Pseudomonadati; Pseudomonadota; Gammaproteobacteria; Enterobacterales; Enterobacteriaceae
Description: partial 23S ribosomal RNA
Rfam family: Bacterial large subunit ribosomal RNA
Source: RNAcentral
AAAAGAACCUGAAACCGUGUACGUACAAGCAGUGGGAGCACAGGUUUACCUGUGUGACUGCGUACCUUUUGUAUAAUGGGUCAGCGACUUAUAUUCUGUAGCAAGGUUAACCGAAUAGGGGAGCCGGAGGGAAACCGAGUCUUAAUUGGGCGUUAAGUUGCAGGGUAUAGACCCGAAACCCGGUGAUCUAGCCAUGGGCAGGUUGAAGGUUGGGUAACACUAACUGGAGGACCGAACCGACUAAUGUUGAAAAAUUAGCGGAUGACCUGUGGCUGGGGGUGAAAGGCCAAUCAAACCGGGAGAUAGCUGGUUCUCCCCGAAAGCUAUUUAGGUAGCGCCUCGUGAAUUCAUCUCCGGGGGUAGAGCACUGUUUCGGCUAGGGGGCCAUCCCGGCUUACCAACCCGAUGCAAACUGCGAAUACCGGAGAAUGUUAUCACGGGAGACACACGGCGGGUGCUAACGUCCGUCGUGAAGAGGGAAACAACCCAGACCGCCAGCUAAGGUCCCAAAGUCAUGGUUAAGUGGGAAACGAUGUGGGAAGGCCCAGACAGCCAGGAUGUUGGCUUAGAAGCAGCCAUCAUUUAAAGAAAGCGUAAUAGCUCACUGGUCGAGUCGGCCUGCGCGGAAGAUGUAACGGGGCUAAACCAUGCACCGAAGCUGCGGCAGCGAACGUAUCACCCAAGACAACUUUACGGAGUUGACGAUUGACGGAGCGAAGCGACGUCAAAGCGUUCAUUAAAGUCGAGUUGGCUUAGGGAUACGUUCGUUGGGUAGGGGAGCGUUCUGUAAGCCUGUGAAGGUGUGUCGUGAGGC